UCACUUAUGGAUGGACCCGCGUCGCAUUAGCUAGUUGGUGAGGUAACGGCUCACCAAGGCAACGAUGCGUAGCCGACCUGAGAGGGUGAUCGGCCACACUGGGACUGAGACACGGCCCAGACUCCUACGGGAGGCAGCAGUAGGGAAUCUUCCGCAAUGGACGAAAGUCUGACGGAGCAACGCCGCGUGAGUGAUGAAGGCUUUCGGGUCGUAAAACUCUGUUGUUAGGGAAGAACAAGUGCUAGUUGAAUAAGCUGGGACCUUGACGGUACCUAACCAGAAAGCCACGGCUAACUACGUGCCAGCAGCCGCGGUAAUACGUAUGUGGCUAGCGUUAUCCGGAAUUAUUGGGCGUAAAGCGCGCGCAGUGGUUUCUAAGUCUGAUGUGAAAGCCCACGGCUCACCCGUGGAGGGUCAUUGGAAACUGGGAGACUUGAGUGCAAAUGAGGAAGUUGAAUUCCAUGUGUAGCGGUGAAAUGCAUAACAGAUAUGGGAAGGAACCACCAGUGGGCGAUGCGACUUUCCUGGUCUGGUACCUGAACACUGGAGGCGCGAAAGCGGUGGGGGAGCCAACAGGGAUUAGAAUACCCUGAUCAGUCCACGCCGUAACCGAUGAUGCUAGCUGAUCGAGGGUUCCGCCCAUUCAUGCUGAGUCACGCAGUAGGCACUCCGCCUGGGGAAUACGUCACAAGCUGAACUCAAACGAUGGACGGGGACCG
This 719-nucleotide ribosomal RNA is filed under the name Streptococcus dysgalactiae subsp. equisimilis. Its description in RNAcentral is "bacterial SSU rRNA". It matches the Rfam family "Bacterial small subunit ribosomal RNA", at positions 215 to 922 of the family's 1533-position model. Lineage: Bacteria; Bacillati; Bacillota; Bacilli; Lactobacillales; Streptococcaceae. The record is from RNAcentral.